AAGGAGCACUUCUCGUGCCGGUACCGCUCACACUGGUGGGUGGGAAUGCACGCAGAGACCACGCCGGCCCCGUACGCGGGUCGGGUGGGAGCUCAUGGGUGGAACACUGACAACCAGAACCGGCAAUGAUCGGUGCCUCCUGUGUGGGGUGCCGGCGGGUUCUAUAUCGAUGCACUGUUGGGUCCUGAGAGAACACGCGAGUGUUACCUCUCUGGCAAGAAACGUAUACAGCGCCCGGAUGUGUCAUACCGCGGCUGGUGUUCCUCCCCUUGUCGGGGUGGGGGUGCCGGUGGGUCUGGUGUCACGGUGAGUUCGGGUGGUGUGUGUUGUUUGAGAACUGCACAGUGGACGCGAGCAUCUUUGUU
Molecule: unclassified non-coding RNA, 365 nt
Filed under: Rhodococcoides corynebacterioides
Lineage: Bacteria; Bacillati; Actinomycetota; Actinomycetes; Mycobacteriales; Nocardiaceae
Description: Rhodococcus corynebacterioides 16S-23S ribosomal RNA intergenic spacer region
Source: RNAcentral